This 497-nucleotide ribosomal RNA is filed under the name uncultured bacterium. Its description in RNAcentral is "partial 16S ribosomal RNA". It matches the Rfam family "Bacterial small subunit ribosomal RNA", at positions 28 to 507 of the family's 1533-position model. The record is from RNAcentral.
GAUGAACGCUGGCGGCGUGCCUAAUACAUGCAAGUCGAGCGAACGGACGAGAAGCUUGCUUCUCUGAUGUUAGCGGCGGACGGGUGAGUAACACGUGGAUAACCUACCUAUAAGACUGGGAUAACUUCGGGAAACCGGAGCUAAUACCGGAUAAUAUUUUGAACCGCAUGGUUCAAAAGUGAAAGACGGUCUUGCUGUCACUUAUAGAUGGAUCCGCGCUGCAUUAGCUAGUUGGUAAGGUAACGGCUUACCAAGGCUACGAUGCAUAGCCGACCUGAGAGGGUGAUCGGCCGCACUGGAAGUGAGACACGGUCCAGAGUCCUACGGGAGGCAGCAGUAGGGAAUCUUCCGCAAUGGGCGAAAGCCUGACGGAGCAACGCCGCGUAAGUGAUGAAGAUCUUCGGAGCGUAAAACUCUGUUAUUAGGGAAGAACAUAUGUGUAAGUAACUGUGCACAUCUUGACGGUACCUAGUCAGAAAGCCACGGCUAACUACGUG